GGAUUAGGCAUGCAAGUCGAGCGAGAUAUUUCGGAUGGAAACUUCGGUCGAAGUCCGGGAUUGAAAGCGGCGAAAGGGUGAGUAACACGUAGUUACCUACCCCAGGGUCCGGGAUAGCCUCGGGAAACUGAGGGUAAUACCGGAUAAUCUCUCCGGAGCAAAGGUGUGACUCCGCCCUGGGAGGGGACUGCGUCCUACUAGCUUGUUGGUGGGGUAAUGGCCUACCAAGGCUACGAUGGGUAGUGGGCGUGAGAGCGUGGCCCACCACACUGGGACUGAGACACUGCCCAGACACCUACGGGUGGCUGCAGUCGAGAAUCUUCGGCAAUGGGCGCAAGCCUGACCGAGCGACGCCGCGUGUGGGAUGAAGGCUUUCGGGUUGUAGACCGCUGUCAGUGGGGAGGAAGGCUCUGUGAAGAGCAGAGCUUGACCUAUCCGCAGAGGAAGUCCGGGCUAAGUUCGUGCCAGCAGCCGCGGUAAUACGAACCGUACGAACGUUAUUCGGAAUUAUUGGGCUUAAAGGGUGCGUAGGCGGCUCAGAAAGUGGGGUGUGAAAGCCCUCGGCUCAACCGAGGAAUUGCGCCCCAAACUACUGAGCUCGAGGGAGACAGGGGUGAGCGGAACUGAUGGUGGAGCGGUGAAAUGCGUUGAUAUCAUCAGGAACACCGGUGGCGAAAGCGGCUCACUGGGUCUCUUUUGACGCUGAGGCACGAAAAGCUUAGGGGAGCGAACGGGAUUAGGAUACCCCGGGUAGUCCUAGCUGUAACGAUGAGCACUUGGUUGGGGAUCCUCCCAUAGGUUCCCGGCCGUAGCGAAAGUGUUAAGUGUUCCGCCUGGGAGUAUGGUCGCAAGGCUGAAACUCAAAGGAAUUGACGGGGGCUCGCACAGGGGGUGGAGGAUGGGCUUAAUUGAGGCUACGCGAAGAACCUUAUCCGGGCCUUGACAGCAGGAUUAACCCUGGAAAGCAGGGCCAGCCUUCGGGGGGAACAUGCACAGGUGCUGCAUGGCUGUGUCAGCUCGUGUCGUGAGAGUCGGGUUAAGUCCCUUAACGAGCGAAACCCUUUCUCUAGUGCCACGAUCAUGUCGGGGACUCUAGAGAACGCCGGUGUUAAACCGAGAAGGUGGGGAGACGUCAAUCCUCAUGCCUUUAUGGCCCGGCUCACACUCCUACAAUGCAUUACAAAGGAACAAACUCGUAACCAUCGAAUCCCAAAAACUCCCCAUUCGAUUCAGCUCAACUCCCUCA
RNAcentral lists this ribosomal RNA (1246 nucleotides) under uncultured prokaryote. Its description in RNAcentral is "partial 16S ribosomal RNA". It matches the Rfam family "Bacterial small subunit ribosomal RNA", at positions 46 to 1318 of the family's 1533-position model. The record is from RNAcentral.